UACGUAGGGUGCAAGCGUUGUCCGGAAUUAUUGGGCGUAAAGAGCUCGUAGGCGGUUUGUCGCGUCUGCUGUGAAAACUCAGGGCUUAACCCUGAGCUUGCAGUGGGUACGGGCAGACUAGAGUGCGGUAGGGGAGACUGGAAUUCCUGGUGUAGCGGUGAAAUGCGUAGAUAUCAGGAGGAGCACCGGUGGUGCAGACGGCUCUCUGGACCGUAACUGACGCUGAGACACGAAAGCGUGGGUAGCAAACAGG
RNAcentral lists this ribosomal RNA (253 nucleotides) under uncultured bacterium. RNAcentral describes it as "partial 16S ribosomal RNA". It matches the Rfam family "Bacterial small subunit ribosomal RNA", at positions 524 to 776 of the family's 1533-position model. The record is from RNAcentral.